GUGACCAAUGCUUGUUUCGGCAGGACAAAUUACAAUGAUACGGAGGUCAGAAUGGCCCCUGAGCAAGCAUGACAUGCAAAGUCAUAAAGCAAUCCGUGUCUUU
This 103-nucleotide small nuclear RNA is filed under the name Meriones unguiculatus (Mongolian gerbil). The record is from RNAcentral. Lineage: Eukaryota; Metazoa; Chordata; Mammalia; Rodentia; Muridae.